UCUGUGGUGGCAACCCCUUGAGGUCAAGACCCCACAAUCAGAUGAGGAUGGAGUGGCUCACCCUCAGUCAACAGGCCAGACUCAAGGGGUUCCAGGCAAGUCAGUUCUCCCUCAGGCCUUCGGUUUCCUCACCCACAAGAUGAGAGGGCUGGACCAGAUGGAAAUUCAGGGGGCUAUUAAAAAGCACCCAGGUAUGCUGGCAAAUUGACAAAGCACUCUGUGCAUAACCACGAAAAACACAUUUUCUUAAAGACCCAAGAAGACCCUCAUUUUCAGCACUGGCUGACCUUCAGGCUCAGCUCAGCAGAAAGUGAAGACUGAAGCAAAGUUUUCAACAGUCUGCACAUGUGUUAAAGGAACGCCCCAGCCCAGAGCCAUCCACAAAAACUGGAAGAAUCCGUCAGUUUGUCUUUGUCUCAGUUUUGUCAUAUAGACCUUUGUGACACACAGAUCUAUAUACAAUGGAAACUACAAAUUUCUAAUGAAAGAGCCAUGAAAGAUCACAAAAGAUCUUAAUAAAUAGAAAGACAUUUAAUGUGCAUGAUCAUAAAAUCUCAAUAUUGUCAAGAUAUAAUUUCUCCCCAAUUUGAGUUAUAGGCAAGAGAGUCACAUCAUCUAGGUGAUUGGCCAAACAUAUGUCACAAUCCCUUCCAUUGACAGCUCCCAAAAAAGGAGUUACAUCACCUAGGUGCUCAGCUCUGAGAUGUGUCACAACAUUGCCCAAUACAGGCAGGCCACAGGCGGGAGAGUCACAUUUCCUGGGUGCUUGGCCCAGUGGUAUGUCACAUUUCCUUAUGUAGGAAGGGCACACGUAGCAAGAGAGAGUCACAUUACCUAGGUACUGUGCUAGAGCUAUCAGUCUCUGUGUCGUUCAAUGUGAGAGUUAUGAUCUCUUUAGACAUCCAUGUAACAGAGCCUCAACUCCUUCAUCCUCAGAUGUAAAGGCUAGUGAAGACCAAAUAAGCCUUGAAAGGCUGGAGCCCAUGCGAGGGUCUGCAGUCUUUGUUCCGGAUGGGGAACUACUGCUUCAGCUGGUUACCCAGGUGUCCCCGAUGGGGAAAGGAAGGAAAUGGUGAGAAUCUUCAGCACAACGGAUCACAUCACCCUGGCAGAGACCAGUCCGGCCUGCGCAUGGCACCAGCAGCCGCAGGCUAGAGGCAGUCAUGUCAGGCCUCCUCCAUACAGCAUCUCUCCUGCUUUUUUUUCAAACGGCCCUAAUCACUUAAUUUGGUCAUCUUCCCUGUCACAAUGGGGCACCUGGCGCUAUAGACACUUGGGAAACACACAGAUCUGGGGUCCUACAGUGUCCAGGUGAAGACGCCGGGAGUCAGAGAGGAAAGUCUUUUGAAGCCUCCAAAAGGAAUGCACAGGACCCCACUUGAAGAGGUGGAGUGCCCAGUGGCGGAUACAGGCCCCACACAUCGCAGCAGUAAACAGGGACUCCACGGUGUCCAGCUCUCCAGCCUGGGGUUUCUCAUCACCCAGUGAUUCCAAAAGAAACGAUCUACAAUGGCAUGACUAAGUUCCAGAAACAAAUAAACAAAAUACUGAGGGAAGCCCGUUGGUCACUUUGAUUCUUCAAAGGUGACAAUUGUCCCUCCCUGAAAUCUUGUGAGUGCAUGAACAGGCUAUUCUAAUGUAAAUGAAAUUCACACUAAAACUGAUUGAAAGAUGAUUCUGUUUCCAAGGUACUUUGUAUUCUCAAAUUGCACCUGCUUACCCUGGCCCCCUCAAAAUGGAAGAGUGAUGACUAUUUGUCUUCGUAGCACUGUGGGGACACAGAGCCUUAAAUGGAAGAGUGUCAAAAGCAACAUUCCAUAAAGGGCUGUCACUUCCAAUUUUCAAGCAAGGUUGGAAACCAACCAUGAUGUAUGAAACACUGUUGGCCAAAGUGCACAAUUAGUAAUACAAAAUGAAUAAUAUAAACUAUUGUAAAUAUGUGUGGACAUCGUGGCAAUUUGGACAUCAAAAAACACUGCCAAAUUCAGAAAGAGGAAGCUGUAAACUCAUGGCUGUUAGGAAGCUUAACUUCUGUGUACUAGAACCUAUCAAAAUUAAAUUUCUCCAUGUCAAUCCGUCCAAACAAA
Molecule: long non-coding RNA, 2087 nt
Organism: Homo sapiens (human)
Lineage: Eukaryota; Metazoa; Chordata; Mammalia; Primates; Hominidae
Exons: 6
Source: RefSeq, marked predicted